This 443-nucleotide ribosomal RNA is filed under the name uncultured bacterium. RNAcentral's name for it is "partial 16S ribosomal RNA". It matches the Rfam family "Bacterial small subunit ribosomal RNA", at positions 338 to 795 of the family's 1533-position model. The record is from RNAcentral.
CCUACGGGUGGCAGCAGUGGGGGAUAUUGCACAAUGGGGGCAACCCUGAUGCAGCGACGCCGCGUGGAGGAAGAAGGAUUUCGGGUUGUAAAGCUCUUUUCUCAGGGACGAAGAAAUGAAGGUUACCUGGGGAGUAAGACAGGGCUAAAUCGGUGCCAGCAGCCCCGGUAAAAGGUAGGUGGCAAGCGUGAUCCGGAUUUAUUGGGUGUAAAGGGCGUGUAGGCGGGAGCGCAAGUCAGAUGUGAAAACUCAGGGCUCAACCCUGGGCCUGCAUUUGAAACUGUGUGUCUUGAGUGCUGGAGAGGCAGUCGGAAUUCCGAGUGUAGCGGUGAAAUGCGUAGAUAUACGGAGGAACACCAGUGGCGAAGGCGGAUUGCUGGACAGUAACUGACGCUGAGGCGCGAAAGCGUGGGGAGCAAACAGGAUUAGAUACCCGAGUAGUC